GCUGGGUGCGGUGGCGCACACCUGUCAUCCCAGAGGCUUGGGAGGCUGAGGCAGGAGGAUCGAAAGUUGGAGGCCAGCCUCAGCCACUU
RNAcentral lists this small RNA (89 nucleotides) under Marmota monax (woodchuck). Lineage: Eukaryota; Metazoa; Chordata; Mammalia; Rodentia; Sciuridae. The record is from RNAcentral.